Transfer RNA from Trametes cinnabarina, 84 nucleotides. It matches the Rfam family "tRNA". From Rfam's summary of the family: Transfer RNA (tRNA) molecules are approximately 80 nucleotides in length. Their secondary structure includes four short double-helical elements and three loops (D, anti-codon, and T loops). Further hydrogen bonds mediate the characteristic L-shaped molecular structure. tRNAs have two regions of fundamental functional importance: the anti-codon, which is responsible for specific mRNA codon recognition, and the 3' end, to which the tRNAs corresponding amino acid is attached (by aminoacyl-tRNA synthetases). tRNAs cope with the degeneracy of the genetic code in two manners: having more than one tRNA (with a specific anti-codon) for a particular amino acid; and 'wobble' base-pairing, i.e. permitting non-standard base-pairing at the 3rd anti-codon position. The record is from Rfam. Lineage: Eukaryota; Fungi; Basidiomycota; Agaricomycetes; Polyporales; Polyporaceae.
GCUCUCGUCGUCUAAUGGCUAUGAUAUCAGAUUCCUAUGUUGGGGGCGAUCUGAAGGCUCCGGGUUCGAGUCCCGGCGGGAGUA